GCCAAAUCCUACUCAAGUCUAGAUAGUGGAUGGCUCGGUUCGAGAAGCCGAUGAAGGACGUGGUAAGCUGCGAUAUGCUUGGGCGAGGUGCAUGCAGCCUUAGAGCCCAAGAUUUCCUAAUGCGACUUCGUAGGUCGCUUCGGCGAUCUGGCCCGUCAGGGUCGGGAACGCGGUGAACUGAAACAUCUAAGUAGCCGCAGGAAAAUAAAGAAACAUUCGAUUCCCUUAGUAGCGGCGAGCGGAAGGGGAAUUAGCGCAAACUGAACGCCUUGAAGUGAUUCAAGGUGGAUGUGGUUCGCCCGUCUUUGGAACCGACUUUCUCAGGUGAACUCUGCUGGAAUGCAGGACCAUAGAGAGUGACAGUCUCGUAACCUACAGAAAGAACGUUCUUUGACGUGUGCAUGAGUACCAUGGGUUGGAAAUCCCGUGGGAAAACGGAAGGCACAUUCUUCCAACGCUAAAUACUUCUCGAGUCCGAUAGCGUACUAAGUACCGUGAGGGAAAGCUGAAAAGUACCCCUAGAAAGGGGGUUAAAAGAGCCUCAAACUAUCUAGUGUUAGGCUAGUUAUGGCAUUCAAGCGUCGAUACAGGUGAAAGAAUCUGCCGAGAGGCUUUAGUAUGAAUCCUGUGGAGCAGUGUCAUAGCAUCCGUUUUGAAAAACGGGGCAGGGAGUUUGUCGCCGUGGCAAGACUAAGUCGUUUACGCGAUGGAGUCGUAGCGAAAGCAAGAAGCCCGCAGCAGUUUUCUGUGAGGGGCCUCGUGUUAACGCGCGAGAAGUCACCGCGACAUGAUCCGAAACCGGUCGAUCCUGGCCUGGUCCGGCUGAAGCGGCGCGAAAGCUCCGUGGAAGGCCUCACCGUUGCUGCGUUACAAGCGCUCGGGUGAACUGGGUCAAGGGGUGAAAUGUCAAUCGAGAUCGGUGAUGGCUGGUUCUUCUCGAAAUGGAUCGAAGUCCAGCCUCGAGCGAGACGGCCUAAGAGGUAAAGCUACUGAUUCUGGGUUCUGGAGGUUUACCUCCAGACCCGGAGUCAAACUCUGAACUCUUAGGCGUUGCAGACCUCGGGAGUGAGGGACAGUGCGUAAGGUACUGUUCCUAGAGGGAAACAACCCAGAGCAUGGUUAAGGUCCCACAAUUUCUGACUAAGUGUCAUUGAGGAUGUCCUGGUUCUCAGACAGCGGGGAGGUUAGCUUAGAAGCAGCUACCCUUUAAAGAUAGCGUAACAGCUCACCCGUUGAGAGCUGGGGCGCCGUAAAUGGACGGGGCUCAAGUCAGAAACCGAUACCAUGUCCGCGAGAGCGGGUUAGAGAAGCGAUCUGCAUGGGUGGAAGCAUGGCCGUGAGGUCGUGUGGACCGUGUAGAUACGAGAAUCCUGCCGGCAGUAUCAUCAUUAAGAACAGUGAGAACCUGUUCCACCGUAAGAGUAAGGGUUCCUCUGCAAUGAUUAUCAGCAGAGGGUUAGUCGGUCCUAAUCCACACCGUAAUUCGAAUGUGGAGAAUAGGGAAACAGGUUAAUAUUCCUGUACCUAAUCACAUUUUCUGACGUUUUGGGAUAGCGGAAGCUGCGCCACCGCGCAGUCUAAGCAAGUAAUGCGGACGAGCGUAAUGCAUCGACUCCGUGAACUUGUGAAUGGCCCGGGAAAAAUCCCAGGUUUCCGCAAGUCCUGGAAUCCUUGAAAAAGUGUGAAAGACCGUACCCAGAACCAGCACAGGUACUCUGGCUGAGUAGGCUAAGGUGUUCGGGUAUAACGCAGCUUAGGGAAUUCGGCAAGUUAGCCCCGUACCUUCGGUAGAUGGGGUGCCUAUCCACUUGAUUGGAUAGGUUGCAAUUACUAGGGGAGCUCGACUGUUUACUAAAAACACAGCCGACUGCUACUCCGAAAGGACUUGUAUAGUCGGCGACUCUUGCCCAGUGCCAGCACCUGAAACCUCCGUACAAGGAGAAGAAGGGCUGGUAAACGGCGGCGGUAACUAUGACCGUCUUAAGGUAGCGUAGUCCCUUGCCAAUUAAUUGUUGGCCCGCAUCAAUAGAGUAACGAGGCUCCUACUGUCCCAAGCUGUGGCCCGGUGAACCCGCCGUACCGGCGCAUAGGCCGGUGACUCCUGGUGGGAAGCGAAGACCCUUUGAACCUUUACUGCAGUCUAUUGUUGCGGUGGGGUUCCAAGUGUGAAGUGUAGGUAGUAGACAUUACAGAGACGCAGUCGCAAGGCUGUCGCCCAGUCGACUAUGGGACACUACCCUCUUGGAACCCCGCUGCUUACUUCUACGGAAGGACAUCAAUAGCUGGGCAGUUUAGCUGGGGCGGCAUCCCUCUGAUAACGAAUCAGAGGGGUCCAAAAGUAGGCUCAACCCGUUCAGAAAUCGGGUGUAGAGGACAAAGCCAAAAGCCUGCUUGACUGGAAUCCUGAUAGUAGGGUUUCCAGGCGCGAAAGCGUGGCUUAGCGAACGCCUAUAGCCAAAAUCUUUUGUGAGGCUUAGGCCUGACAAGAAAGGUACUCAAGGGAUAACUGGAUUGUCUGAGGCGCGAGUUCACAUCGACCCUCAGGCUUGUUACUUCGAUGUCGGCUCUCCGUAUCCUGGCUGUGCAACAGCAGCCAAGGGUGAGGGUGUUCACCUAUUAAAACGGAUCGUGAGCUGGGUUUAGAUCGGCGUGAGCCAGAUCUGUUGCUAUCUGCCAGGAGUGUGUUUGUGGUCUGAGAGGAAAGUCCGGACAGUACGAAAGGAACCCCGGACUGAGGCCUCUGGUGUAUCUGUCAUCCGGAAGGGUGUUGCAGAGUAGCUACGCCUCGCAGAUGUAAGAGCUGAAAGCAUCUAAGCUCGAAAGUCUCCUCAAAAAGAGACCGCGUCCGCGCCCAUACAAGAUGGGUUGAUAGAGUGGCGGUGUAAGAUCCAAGGCAACGAGGAUUUCAGCCUACCACUACUAAGAGCGAAUCUCGGGUUUGGC
Ribosomal RNA from Candidatus Haloredivivus sp. G17, 2943 nucleotides. It matches the Rfam family "Archaeal large subunit ribosomal RNA". NCBI's taxonomy places the organism in Archaea, Methanobacteriati, Methanobacteriota, Candidatus Nanohaloarchaea. The record is from Rfam.